AUAUGUGAAUACAUAGCAUAUCAGAAGGCACACCCGGAGAACUGAAACAUCUUAGUACCCGGAGGAAGAGAAAGAAAAUUCGAUUCCCUUAGUAGCGGCGAGCGAAACGGGAAGAGCCCAAACCAACAAGCUUGCUUGUUGGGGUUGUAGGACACUCUAUACGGAGUUACAAAGGACGACAUUAGACGAAUCAUCUGGAAAGAUGAAUCAAAGAAGGUAAUAAUCCUGUAGUCGAAAAUGUUGUCUCUCUUGAGUGGAUCCUGAGUACGACGGAGCACGUGAAAUUCCGUCGGAAUCUGGGAGGACCAUCUCCUAAGGCUAAAUACUCUCUAGUGACCGAUAGUGAACCAGUACCGUGAGGGAAAGGUGAAAAGCACCCCGGAAGGGGAGUGAAAUAGAACCUGAAACCGUGUGCUUACA
RNAcentral lists this ribosomal RNA (420 nucleotides) under Staphylococcus aureus. Its description in RNAcentral is "partial 23S ribosomal RNA". It matches the Rfam family "Bacterial large subunit ribosomal RNA", at positions 154 to 568 of the family's 2925-position model. The record is from RNAcentral. Lineage: Bacteria; Bacillati; Bacillota; Bacilli; Caryophanales; Staphylococcaceae.